Molecule: long non-coding RNA, 226 nt
Filed under: Elaeis guineensis (African oil palm)
Lineage: Eukaryota; Viridiplantae; Streptophyta; Magnoliopsida; Arecales; Arecaceae
Description: long non-coding RNA (EGUI_LNC021712)
Source: RNAcentral
CCCGUUUUUGGGUUGUCUUGCUAGGCAACACAGUGACUGAAGAAGAAAUCUAUGAAACUAUUCAAAGUCUACAUCCUGAUAAAGCUCUGGGCCCUAAUGGUUUUUUUAAUUUUUUUUUCAAUAUUUUUGGCAAAUCAUUAAAAAAGAGAUUGUGGAAGCUAUUAAAUUUUUUUUCUCAUGCCUCUAUUCCUAACUCAUGGAAAAGAACAUAUAUUGCAUUAAUCCC